GCUUAAGUGGGCUAGGACCUAUCCAAGUAUUACCAUGAAGGCCACUCUCUGGCUAUGAGCUGAGUGCAGCUUGGCAGUAUGGAAUCCACCAAGGCACCAUCUGCAACGUGGACGUCCUCUGUGGUAUGUGCUCCUCUCGUACAUCUCAGUCUGCAGUCCUGCGACCCUCUCCUUCCCAGUAACGGAGCAGCUAUGCACCCACUGAUUUCAGGAUAGAGAGAAGCCUCUUUCUUGCUCCGAUUGCAUCAGCCAGGUGCACUGCAGCCAGGGGUUUUCCCUUAAAACCUUAAAUCCUGUUCCAGCUAAACACAGCCACCAGCCUCCAAGCUCCUGCCUUUUUUUAUUAGCGUUUUAUUUUGAGGAGGGAGGGAGGAGAGGUGACGAUGAAGUGAACUCUCCAUAUUAAAUUGUUAAAUGCCUGGACGCUACUGGCCCGCUUGUAGGUGCAGCCUUGGGUGUUUACCACAGCACAGAAAUUCUGCUGAUCUGGUUGCUGGGACGCAACACAUGCUGCUCUGGGAGCACAGAGGCCUACGCAAGCGAGAAGUUGAGGCUCUAAGAAGCACUAAAUGUACUGGAAGAGAAGAACAAUCUGGUUGUCUUGUCCAGCACGCGUUUUAUAUGUCAGUGGGCUCCGGUCAGCACUUCUUUUCUGGAGUUCACUGAGACCUUCAGAGAGGCUUCUUGUUGUUCCCAGAGUAUGAGAAAUCAUUGCAUUCUAAAUUUCAGUUACAACUAAAUCCCGGAGAGAAGAGUUUGUAAUGUGGUCCAGACAUUCCAUGCAGCUCUUGUCAGACCGGACUGUUCUGGUGUCUCUUUCAACUAAAACAUCACUAAAAUACUUAUUUUGCAUGCUCUAUGACAGCAUAAUCUCUUAUGAAACAGAUAUCAAAACCGAAACAAGAUGUUUUGAUGUUACUGAAAAACAACACUUUCACUGAUCACAACUGAGCUUUGCCAUUUUUGGAAUUUUCAUUUUACAGAAGAUUAAUAAAAAUGAUCAUGGUUUUCA
Molecule: long non-coding RNA, 1012 nt
Filed under: Numida meleagris (helmeted guineafowl)
Lineage: Eukaryota; Metazoa; Chordata; Aves; Galliformes; Numididae
Description: lncRNA (ENSNMEG00000001995.1)
Source: RNAcentral